This is a long non-coding RNA of Hemibagrus wyckioides, 1353 nucleotides long. RefSeq lists it as uncharacterized. Lineage: Eukaryota; Metazoa; Chordata; Actinopteri; Siluriformes; Bagridae. The record is from RefSeq and is a predicted model, not a curated record. The transcript is spliced from 3 exons.
GGCAUUUUAUGACCUUUAUCCACAGUUCAAUGUGCUUAUAUGUCUCUAUAACUGCAUGGUGCUGUUUAGUUAAACUUCACCCUACAGAAUGUAACAAAGACACAUUUCUGUGAUUAAAUGGUUCAUUUCCUCUGGUGUUCAUUCAGGCUGUCCUUGAGGCGCCCGACACUGUAGUUCUAACAAGGUUAGAGUAAACAGCCUUCCUGUCCCAUUCAGAUUUUCCCACAGAGUCCAAAGCACACAUUACCGAAAGCUAAGAUGAAGGUUUUCUUAUACUCAGAAGAUUAACUCUCAUUAAGAAACUAUUAGAAUCCGGGUCAUACAAGAAAUUAAAUCCAAAUAUACAUUCUUCUACAAAGAUUAGCAAAAAAAGCUGCAAUGCAGACAUCAGAGGUCAUUAGAACAGCGAUGUAAAUGAUUCAAAAGUUGUUCGACUUAAUUUUCCUUCUGUUGUUUCCACUUAGAAACAAAGCAAAGUUAAUGAGCUGGUUUUAAAACUGUAGUCAUUUCAAUGAGGUCAAUGAGGGACAUUACAGAGUCAUUUACUAUAUAAGUUAAAGUCAGCCUCUCAUAUUUUCCUUGCUACUUGUGUCGUUAUACAGUACUGCAUCACAUUAACUGUGAAAUUUAGGGGUAGAUACCUGGUACAUGAUACUUCCCAGCACACGGAUUAUGAAAUGAAAUAACAGCCGCUACAAAAACACUGACAUACACAUUAAUAACGUCACCAUUAUCCUCAUCAGCGACAACAAUAACAGCAAGAAUUGGUGCAGCAGCAACUGCAACAUCAUCAACAAGAUCAGCAGCAACAACAACAAGAUCAGCAGCAGCAAGAUGAAGAAGAAAAAGAAGAAGAAAAACGUGACUGUAAUGAAAAUAAAUAAAAAUGUGCUCAGCUGCAAAUCCUUUGCGAUCCAUGGCCGUCUAGUGACCCAUAAAUAUUACCAGAUGCAGGAUAUCUUCCCUGAGUUGCUUGAUCCAUGUUGAUGCUCUACGUCUGCUUGGAGCCUUUAUCACCUGAAUGUUCACACACUGCUGUGCUUGGACAGCCUGAAGAUCACCAUGAGACAGCUGUGGAUGAUGCCAAAUGGACACUCUAAAGAGGGCUGUUGAUUUUCUUAUUUGUACAGCCUAAAGACUACACUUGCGAAGAACAGUUUAACCUCAAGUCUAAAUCACCUGAACUGUCAAUAAAACUGUCAAUAAAGUCACUAUGAUACAAUAAUAAUAAUAAUAAUAGUAAUAAAAAAGAAAACAGAUAUUCUUGUACUCAACUUCUUUAAAAAAUAUUCUUAGCAGGGUUUCACUUUAUAGUAUACAGUUAUGGAAGAAGUAAUGAUUUAUAAUCACACU